Molecule: ribosomal RNA, 301 nt
Filed under: uncultured bacterium
Lineage: Bacteria
Description: partial 16S ribosomal RNA
Rfam family: Bacterial small subunit ribosomal RNA
Source: RNAcentral
CAGUCGCCACGGUAAUACGUAGGUGGCAAGCGUUGUCCGGAAUUAUUGGGCGUAAAGGGCUCGCAGGUGGUUUCUUAAGUCUGAUGUGAAAGCCCCCGGCUCAACCGGGGAGGGUCAUUGGAAACUGGGAAACUUGAGUGCAGAAGAGGAGAGUGGAAUUCCACGUGUAGCGGUGAAAUGCGUAGAGAUGUGGAGGAACACCAGUGGCGAAGGCGACUCUCUGGUCUGUAACUGACGCUGAGGAGCGAAAGCGUGGGGAGCGAACAGGAUUAGAUACCCCUGUAGUCCCUGUCUCUUAUAC